This 292-nucleotide ribosomal RNA is filed under the name uncultured bacterium. RNAcentral describes it as "partial 16S ribosomal RNA". The record is from RNAcentral.
GGACUACCGGGGUAUCUAAUCCUGUUUGAUCCCCAUGCUUUCGUAUCUCAGCGUCAAUUUAGGACCAGGUAGCCGCCUUCGCCACCGGUGUUCCUCCUGAUAUCUACGUAUUUCACCACUACACCAGGAAUUCCACUACCCUCUUCCAAAUUCAAGCUUAGCAGUAUCAUUUGCACUUCCCGGGUUAAGCCCGGGGAUUUCACAACUGACUUACAAAGCCGCCUACAUACUCUUUACGCCCAAUGAUUCCGAACAACGCUAGGAUCCCUCGUCUUACCGCGGCUGCUGGCAC